Molecule: ribosomal RNA, 253 nt
Filed under: uncultured bacterium
Lineage: Bacteria
Description: partial 16S ribosomal RNA
Rfam family: Bacterial small subunit ribosomal RNA
Source: RNAcentral
UACGUAGGGGGCUAGCGUUGUCCGGAAUCAUUGGGCGUAAAGAGCGUGUAGGCGGCCCGGUAAGUCCGCUGUAAAAGUCCAAGGCUCAACCUUUGAAUGUCAGUGGAUACUGCCGGGCUAGAGUCCGGAAGAGGCGAGUGGAACUCCUGGUGUAGCGGUGGAAUGCGCAGAUAUCAGGAAGAACACCAACGGCGAAGGCAGCUCGCUGGGACGGUACUGACGCUGAGACGCGAAAGCGUGGGGAGCAAACAGG